RNAcentral lists this long non-coding RNA (3092 nucleotides) under Sus scrofa (pig). RNAcentral describes it as "lncRNA (ENSSSCG00065005923.1)". Lineage: Eukaryota; Metazoa; Chordata; Mammalia; Artiodactyla; Suidae. The record is from RNAcentral.
ACAGAAGGCUGAUUGGGGCCCGGGAUACAGUGUUUGCUCUCAGCUUGCACUGAACGUGGCAGGCCGCACCUGCCUUCCAGACAGCCUACAAGCGAGUUUAUGCUAACGCUGAUACUCUUGCUAAAACAACUCGAAGCACGGGUAACAGAUGUUAAAUAGAAGAGGAAUGAGAAGCAAACCAUUUCUCUUUUUUAUGUGCAUUUUUGUGUGUCUGUUUGUUUGUGGAGCAGGGGUUUUAUCCCUGCAAGAAUCACAGUCGCUCUCCUCUGCAAAAAUGAUACCCCAUCUGUCAUCUGGACGUCAACGCCGAAAUCAUGGGCGCUGAUGGAGGGCCUUAUUUCAGCCAUGUGUCUCAAGGAGAGGGGUUCGCAAGCUUCCAGGAGCAUUGGAAUCCCGUGGCGACCUUGUCUGACUGCAGAGCACCAGCCUCACCUCCAGAGUUUUUGACUCAGUAGGUCUGGGCUGGAGUCUAGGAAUGAGCAGUCUAACAAUUUACCAGGUAAGGCUGAUGCUGCAGGAACCCCACCUUCAGAAUCACUGCUCUAGGACGGCAAGGAGAAAAGCCUAAGAUCAUCCACUGUGCAGCCUCAGGCCCAGCCUGAUUGGUUUUUCAAGACUCUGCGGUGGAGCCGGCUAUGUUUGGAUCUGAGCAGGUAAACCAGGCCAGUGGAGAAAGGCCCUUCCUCAGCGUGGCUCCCAGCAGCGGAGACUGAGGGCUGAGAUGCCCUUUGGGGUGUUGUUGUUGGGGCCUGAGACGCAGGGCUGUCAGCCUCCAAACCAGCUCCCAGGCAAGCAUCCCUCACACCCCGUCAGUCCUGCCAGAGGGCUGUACUAAGCUAGGGGUUGAAUCAGAGCUGUAGCUGCUGGCCUACACCACAGCCACAGCAAUGCAGGAUCCGAGCCGCAUCUGCAACCUGCACCACAGCUCACGGCAGAUCCUUAACCACUGAGCGAGGCCAGGGAUGGAACCCAAAACCUCAUGCUUGCUAGUCGGGUUCGUUAACCAUUGAGCCUCAGAGGGAACUCCAAAGGAGUGAAUUCUUUCGUGGCAGCUCCCAUGAGCCUCCUAGAGCUCAGAGCUCCCAGGACAGCACUCGAUGGAGCCCAGCAGGGAGUUUCUGGUCUAACCACAGAAGUCACAGAAUAUCACUUCCACUGCAUCCUGCAGGCCAAGAAAACCACCAAGGGUCUAAUUUUAACAAAAUUCCACCAAAAGGAAGAAUUGGGACAUCCCACAUAACUCAUUUGGACUGGGAUGUGGCACCCGGAACAAGCGCCCCUCCAAACGCCCGAAGACAGCGUGAGCGUUGUCAGGUGCGAUCAGCGACUUCCUGGCAGGUGUGCUCAGGUGUGUUAGGAGGGACACAGCUCUGACGGCAGGCAGAGAAUGAGACCGAUAAGCCUGCACUCUGGGAUCCAGGCGCUCACAAGCAAGGGGCAAGAGGAGGUUUCCUGUUCUGGAUGAGAGGAGUCGUGUAGGAGGUAUGAGGAAUGAAGCCGUGGAAGUGAUGGGUGGACCUCAAACCCCACACCCCCAAAAAGGUCUGCCUUUAAUUGUUUUAUUAGAGAGUUCACCAAAAUUGGAACCAGGAAGAAAAAGAACAAGCCACAGAAAUUUGUUCUUGGCUCCAGUCAGACAGCUGAGCCCCAAACUGCGAUUCUAAAGUCUGUUUGCUAUUGAACAGGCGAAUCGAGGACCAAAAGGCACUGGCACAUCUAGUGGGCUCACAGGAGCCAUGGCCAAGUUGAGGGUUAGGGACAUGUGCCAGCAGCACGCUCGGGUACACUCUGUCCCUGCCCGAGUCUACUGCAGUAAUUAGCUUUGCUCAUUAGUUUCAAGUAAAUAAUCUCCUUGUCACAGCUGGGAUCCUUUAUCAGAACAGUGGACAUCAGGGUUUGCAAAAGCAAAGGAUUUCCCCCCCCACCCCCAGAAUUCCCUGGAACACUAAGUCAUGACCCAGAGAUUUGAAUGAAGGAAGGAAAUGUCCAAAGAGGUCUAAAAUUCCAAGGAAUAGCUCUGUCUAGAGAGUGGAAGCAUUGGGUAUGAAAAACAAAUGAAAAACAACAACAAAACCUUUGAAAUGGAUAUUGAUCUGUUCUUCAACUCAGUUUAAGUUCAGAUCAACAAAGACACGUAACUAUCUGCUAUAUAGCAGGAAAUGCAGCCCAGACCUCAGAGAUCCUGGGAGGAAACGGGUAAUAAAUGCACAAAUAGCAUUAACAUGCUAGUAAUGCACUCUGAUGGCAGAAUGUGCGGAGGGAGGGUGCCCAAGCCUGCCUGGGUCUUCAGGGAGGAUUUCCCGGAGGUGUGACUGGCACUGAUUUAAGACGAGAAGGAGCAGCGAGGAGCACUUCUGCAAGACUUGCAGAGGAGGGAGGCCUGGGCAUGAUUCUGAGCCUUUUAAAACAAUGGGCAAAAUACAUACGCUCAACCUUUUAUCCCUUGGUAUCCCAUCAUUAUGCCCAUUUCGAGGAAGGAGAAAAUGAAGAGAGAUUUCAACACUGCCCGUGGAUUGCCUGUGGGGUUGGGGUUGAGGGAGGACAAUGCUGGGAUAGUGAGGCAGGACCCUACCAGCCCUGGGGGCACCCAAUAAGGGGCUGACCCUUUAAACUCCGCCCCCAUCCCCCAAGCAUCGCCAGGGGCACCGGCAACACCCUUAGUGCCAAGGGCAUGGUCACUGCCAAAGAGGAGGCCAGAUUGCUCAUAGUCUCAACACCUGCCUGGGGCAGAGCUCAACACCAAACCCCAAUCUCCUUUCCAUGCAGGAGAACCUCGCUAGAAUUCAAUCCAGGCUGCCAGAGAGAAGAAAGGAGACAGGAGUAGUUGGGGGGCAAAAGGGAAACAUUUUCUCUUAGACUGACUGGAAAUCACAAGUUGGGGAGAAAAGGCCAAGAGGUAAAUGACUGCAUGCUGGUUGAGAGAAUGGACUUUGGGAUUAAGACAGUUCUGGGUGUAGGUCCCAGUUCUGCUGCUUCCUAACUGUAUGGACACGUUUCCCGAACUCCCUAUAGCUCAGUGUCCUCAUCUGUAAAGUGGGUGCAACAGCACUUACGCCAGUGGGUUGAUGGGAGAAUUAAACGCAAUAAUGUGU